RNAcentral lists this ribosomal RNA (425 nucleotides) under uncultured bacterium. RNAcentral describes it as "partial 16S ribosomal RNA". It matches the Rfam family "Bacterial small subunit ribosomal RNA", at positions 354 to 796 of the family's 1533-position model. The record is from RNAcentral.
GUGGGGAAUCUUGCACAAUGGGCGAAAGCCUGAUGCAGCCAUGCCGCGUGAAUGAUGAAGGCCUUAGGGUUGUAAAAUUCUUUCGCCAGGGAUGAUAAUGACCGUACCUGAAGAAGAAGCCCCGGCUAACUUCGUGCCAGCAGCCGCGGUAAUACGAAGGGGGCUAGCGUUGUUCGGAAUUACUGGGCGUAAAGCGCACGUAGGCGGACUUUUAAGUCAGGUGUGAAAUCCCGGGGCUCAACCUCGGAACUGCAUUUGAAACUGGAAGUCUUGAGAUCAGGAGAGGUUAGCGGAAUACCGAGUGUAGAGGUGAAAUUCGUAGAUAUUCGGUGGAACACCAGUGGCGAAGGCGGCUAACUGGACUGAUACUGACGCUGAGGUGCGAAAGUGUGGGGAGCAAACAGGAUUAGAAACCCGGGUAGUCC